AGGGGUGUGCCUUCAAUGUCCACUUUUUCCUCUUCUUGCUGGUGGGAAUGUGAACAGAGUGGAGCCACCACGGACCUCACAACCAAAGGUGUGUCUUGGAGGUGGAGGUGUUGCUGCCAAGUUCAGAAUGUCUGCUCCAGGAACCCAGCCAGCGGGUCCCACAGACAACCGAACACUCGCGCUGGCCAGUAUGCUCAAAGAAGUGUCCGGCUGGAUGACUUCGCUGCUCCUCCCAUUAAAAGGUACAGCCCACUCCCCCACUCCUUGAUCUGUGACUUGCUUUGACCACUAGAAAGCAGAAGUGGCAUUAUGUGACUUCAGGGCUAGACCUCAAGGGGCCUCCUACAAACACAGUCACGUGAGAAGCCCAGGCCAGCAUGCUGGGCAAUGCAUGGCGGCCCAGCCAGCAGCCAGCCCUGGGAUCAAGCCCUCGCCAGCCAUGAGGAUGAAGCCAUCCUAGGCCGUCUAGCUUCAGCUCAGCCCCUGGACAACUGCAGCCACAUGAGGUGAGGCCAGCAGGAGGGCUGCCCAGCUCAGCCCGGCCCACAUUUCUGACUCACAGAAAAUAAAAUGCGAGCAAAUAA
Long non-coding RNA from Suricata suricatta (meerkat), 584 nucleotides. RefSeq lists it as uncharacterized. The record is from RefSeq and is a predicted model, not a curated record. Lineage: Eukaryota; Metazoa; Chordata; Mammalia; Carnivora; Herpestidae. The transcript is spliced from 3 exons.